RNAcentral lists this ribosomal RNA (497 nucleotides) under uncultured bacterium. Its description in RNAcentral is "partial 16S ribosomal RNA". It matches the Rfam family "Bacterial small subunit ribosomal RNA", at positions 28 to 507 of the family's 1533-position model. The record is from RNAcentral.
GAUGAACGCUGGCGGCGUGCCUAAUACAUGCAAGUCGAGCGAACAGACGAGGAGCUUGCUCCUCUGACGUUAGCGGCGGACGGGUGAGUAACACGUGGAUAACCUACCUAUAAGACUGGGAUAACUUCGGGAAACCGGAGCUAAUACCGGAUAAUAUAUUGAACCGCAUGGUUCAAUAGUGAAAGACGGUUUUGCUGUCACUUAUAGAUGGAUCCGCGCCGCAUUAGCUAGUUGGUAAGGUAACGGCUUACCAAGGCAACGAUGCGUAGCCGACCUGAGAGGGUGAUAGGCGACACUGGAGCGGAGACACGGUCCAGACGCCUGAGGGAGGGAGCAGUAGGGAAUCUUACGCAGUGGGCGAGAGUCUGGCGGAGCAGCGCCGCGUGAGUGAUGAAGGUGUUCGGUGCGUAAAACUCUGUUAUUAGGGAAGAACAAAUGUGUAAGUAACUAUGCACGUCUUGACGGUACCGAAUCAGAAAGCCACGGCUAACUACGUG